GACGAACGCUGGCGGCGUGCCUAAUACAUGCAAGUUGAGCGAUGAAGCUUGGUGCUUGCACCAAUUUGAAGAGCAGCGAACGGGUGAGUAACGCGUGGGGAAUCUGCCUUUGAGCGGGGGACAACAUUUGGAAACGAAUGCUAAUACCGCAUAACAACUUUAAACAUAAGUUUUAAGUUUGAAAGAUGCAAUUGCAUCACUCAAAGAUGAUCCCGCGUUGUAUUAGCUAGUUGGUGAGGUAAAGGCUCACCAGGGCGAUGAUACAUAGCCGACCUGAGAGGGUGAUCGGCCGCAUUGGGACUGAGACACGGCCCAAACUCCUACGGGAGGCAGCAGUAGGGAAUCUUCGGCAAUGGACGAAAGUCUGACCGAGCAACGCCGCGUGAGUGAAGAAGGUUUUCGGAUCGUAAAACUCUGUUGGUAGAGAAGAACGUUGGUGAGAGUGGAAAGCUCAUCAAGUGACGGUAACUACCCAGAAAGGGACGGCUAACUACGUG
Molecule: ribosomal RNA, 497 nt
Filed under: uncultured bacterium
Lineage: Bacteria
Description: partial 16S ribosomal RNA
Rfam family: Bacterial small subunit ribosomal RNA
Source: RNAcentral